RNAcentral lists this unclassified non-coding RNA (314 nucleotides) under uncultured fungus. Its description in RNAcentral is "sequence contains ITS1, 5.8S rRNA gene". The stretch from base 266 to 314 matches the Rfam family "5.8S ribosomal RNA", at positions 1 to 49 of the family's 154-position model. Lineage: Eukaryota; Fungi. The record is from RNAcentral.
UCUCCGUUGGUGAACCAGCGGAGGGAUCAUUGCGAGAUCGAGCGUGCUCUGCACGCUCCUUCCCAAACCACCUGCCUACCUUACCGGACUGUUGCUUCGGCGGCGGCAAGGCCCGAUAUGGGCUCUGCUACCGCCGGAGGUAUGCACGAACGAGACUCUUUCUGUUUCUCUUCCUUUCUAGCAAAGCGCGCCUGGCCUAUCAGGCGUCCGCCGAGCUUCUCUCCUGAGCAAAACAAGAUACAAAGAAUUACAAGAAAUAAGUUAAAACUUUCAACAACGGAUCUCUUGGUUCUGGCAUCGAUGAAGAACGCAGC